RNAcentral lists this ribosomal RNA (497 nucleotides) under uncultured bacterium. RNAcentral's name for it is "partial 16S ribosomal RNA". It matches the Rfam family "Bacterial small subunit ribosomal RNA", at positions 28 to 507 of the family's 1533-position model. The record is from RNAcentral.
GAUGAACGCUGGCGGCGUGCCUAAUACAUGCAAGUCGAGCGAACGGACGAGAAGCUUGCUUCUCUGAUGUUAGCGGCGGACGGGUGAGUAACACGUGGAUAACCUACCUAUAAGACUGGUAUAACUUCGGGAAACCGGAGCUAAUACCGGAUAAUAUUUUGAACCGCAUGGUUCAAAAGUGAAAGACGGUCUUGCUGUCACUUAUAGAUGGAUCCGCGCUGCAUUAGCUAGUUGGUAAGGUAACGGCUUACCAAGGCAACGAUGCAUAGCCGACCUGAGAGGGUGAUCGGCCACACUGGAACUGAGGCACGGUCCAGACUCCUACGGGAGGCAGCAGUAGGGAAUCUUCCGCAAUGGGCGAAAGCCUGACGGAGCAACGCCGCGUGAGUGAUGAAGGUCUUCGGAUCGUAAAACUCUGUUAUUAGGGAAGAACAUAUGUGUAAGUAACUGUGCACAUCUUGACGGUACCUAAUCAGAAAGCCACGGCUAACUACGUG